Molecule: ribosomal RNA, 1089 nt
Filed under: Ideobisium sp. JM-2008
Lineage: Eukaryota; Metazoa; Arthropoda; Arachnida; Pseudoscorpiones; Syarinidae
Description: eukaryotic LSU rRNA
Rfam family: Eukaryotic large subunit ribosomal RNA
Source: RNAcentral
AGUAACGGCGAGCGAACGGGGAAGAGCUCAUAGCCGAAUCCGGUGCCCCCGGGCAUUGGAAAUGUGGCGUAUGGGAGGCGGAGCCCUCCGCGUGCGAUCGGAGGUACAAGUCCCCAUGAGAGGGGCAUGUUACCCGUAGACGGUGCUAGGCCCGUGCCGCCUUCGAUCUGCAUGCGGAGUUGCCGUUUUCCCGGGAGUCGGGUUGCUUGGGAGUGCAGCCCUAAGUGGGUGGUAAACUCCACCUAAAGCUAAAUAUGACCGAGAGACCGAUAGCGAACAAGUACCGUGAGGGAAAGUUGAAAAGCACUUUGAAGAGAGAGUUCAAGAGUACGUGAAACCGUUCAGAGGUAAACGGGUGGGACCUCGAAGUCCAAAGACGGUGGUGGAUUCAGUCCGCACCGGGUUCCGCCUUCCGUAGCAUCACCCCGCGACCGGGGCUGCCUAGGGAGGGAUCGGGCUCGGGUCGGGCGCACUUCCACGCCCCGUCCGUUAGGACGCCGCGACCGGUUGGGAGGCUGUCGUGAGGUCCGGCCGUAAAGGUGGCCGCAUUUCUUGCUCGCAGGAUCUGCGGUGUUACAGUUGGCCGGAUGCACCUGAGAGGCCGCCCGACCGGGGUCGAGCCAUCCUCUACUUGCGUUCCCUUUCCGCGUGGGAAGCGACCCUCUGGGCGAGCUGCCGGUCGGAGGUCGCCGCGCCAGCAAUGGCGAGUGCCUCCGGAAGGCUGCCGCAGCCCGGCGGGAUCGUGGGGAGCGAGAGGUUGCGGCGAGUAGGUCGGUAACCCACCCGACCCGUCUUGAAACACGGACCAAGGAGUCUAACGCGUGUGCGAGUUCCCGGGACUUGAACAGGCCCGAGGGCGCAAUGAAGGUGAAGGGCAAUUUGGUUGCCCGAGUUGGGAUCCGGACCCUUUUAAAGGGCGCCGGCGCACCAACGGCCCGUCUCGAACCGUUCUCGGUUUGGCGGAGCUAGAGCAUACGCUCUGGGACCCGAAAGAUGGUGAACUAUGCCUGGGCAGGACGAAGCCAGAGGAAACUCUGGUGGAGGUCCGCAGCGAUUCUGACGUGCAAAUCGAUCGUCAGACCUGGUAUA